UACAGAGGUCUCAAGCGUUGUUCGGAUUCAUUGGGCGUAAAGGGUGCGUAGGCGGCGCGGUAAGUCGGGUGUGAAAUCUUGGAGCUUAACUCCGAAACUGCAUUCGAUACUGCCGUGCUUGAGGACUGGAGAGGAGACUGGAAUUUACGGUGUAGCGGUGAAAUGCGUAGAUAUCGGGAGGAACACCAGUGGCGAAGGCGGCACUCUGGGCCGGAACUGACGCUGAGGAGCGAAAGCGUGGGGAGCGAACAGG
Molecule: ribosomal RNA, 253 nt
Filed under: uncultured bacterium
Lineage: Bacteria
Description: partial 16S ribosomal RNA
Rfam family: Bacterial small subunit ribosomal RNA
Source: RNAcentral